CCUACGGGAGGCAGCAGUAGGGAAUCUUUCACAAUGGGCGAAAGCCUGAUGGAGCAACGCCGCGUGCAGGAUGAAGGCCUUCGGGUUGUAAAGUGCUUUUAUAAGCGAGAAAUAUGAUGGUAACUUAUGAAUAAGGAUCGGCUAACUACGUGCCAGCAGCCGCGGUCAUACGUAGGAUCCGAGCAUUAUCCGGAGUGACUGGGUGUAAAGAGUUGCGUAGGUGGCAUAAUAAGUAGCGAGUGAAAUCUGGUGGCUCAACCAUUCAGACUAUUAGCUAAACUGUUACGCUCGAGACCGUUAGGGGUAACUGGAAUUUCUAGUGUAGGAGUGAAAUCCGUAGAUAUUAGAAGGAACACCAAUAGCGUAGGCAGGUUGCUGGGACGGUUCUGACACUAAGGCACGAAAGCGUAGGGAGCAAACGGGAUUAGAUACCCCUGUAGUC
Molecule: ribosomal RNA, 442 nt
Filed under: uncultured bacterium
Lineage: Bacteria
Description: partial 16S ribosomal RNA
Rfam family: Bacterial small subunit ribosomal RNA
Source: RNAcentral